GUGCUAUAUGAGCUAUCGAAGAGGAGCCUGGCCGGGUUAAUGGACUCAGGGGGUGUCCUGAGCAGGACUGGUUCCGCUGCUGUCUCUCCGGUGUUCCUGGCAAGGGCUGGGCCUGACAGGUUUCUUUGCAGCUCACCUCAAAGCUGGGAGAUGGGGCUGCCUUGCGUGGUCAUGAUCACUGUCCUCUGGGUCCAGAUCCUGCUGCAAACCCCUCAGGUGGAAGCCAAGGGGAUCAAGAUGACCAUGGAGUACAAUGCUUUUGAUGAC
RNAcentral lists this long non-coding RNA (267 nucleotides) under Ornithorhynchus anatinus (platypus). RNAcentral describes it as "lncRNA (ENSOANG00000036006.1)". The record is from RNAcentral. Lineage: Eukaryota; Metazoa; Chordata; Mammalia; Monotremata; Ornithorhynchidae.